Molecule: ribosomal RNA, 463 nt
Filed under: uncultured bacterium
Lineage: Bacteria
Description: bacterial SSU rRNA
Rfam family: Bacterial small subunit ribosomal RNA
Source: RNAcentral
ACGCCGCGUGAGUGAUGAAGGCUUCGGGUCGUAAAGCUCUGUCAGGUGGGAAGAACACGGAAAUCCCCAAUAUGGGUUUCCGUUGACGGUACCAUCAGAGGAAGCACCGGCUAACUCCGUGCCAGCAGCCGCGGUAAUACGGAGGGUGCAAGCGUUGUUCGGAAUUACUGGGCGUAAAGCGCGUGCAGGCGGCCCAUUAAGUCAGAUGUGAAAGCCCUUGGCUCAACCAAGGAACUGCAUUUGAAACUAGUAGGCUUGAGUACGGGAGAGGAGAGUGGAAUUCCCGGUGUAGAGGUGAAAUUCGUAGAUAUCGGGAAGAACACCGGUGGCGAAGGCGGCUCUCUGGACCGAUACUGACGCUGAGACGCGAAAGCGUGGGGAGCAAACAGGAUUAGAUACCCUGGUAGUCCCGCUGUAAACGAUGGGCACUAGUGUGGAGGGUAUUGACCCCUUCUGUGCCGGA